This 557-nucleotide ribosomal RNA is filed under the name uncultured bacterium. RNAcentral describes it as "bacterial SSU rRNA". It matches the Rfam family "Bacterial small subunit ribosomal RNA", at positions 102 to 694 of the family's 1533-position model. The record is from RNAcentral.
ACGGGUGCGUAACGCGUGGGAAUCUGCCCUUAGGUUCGGAAUAACAGCUGGAAACGGCUGCUAAUACCGGAUGAUGACGAAAGUCCAAAGAUUUAUUGCCUGAGGAUGAGCCCGCGUUGGAUUAGGUAGUUGGUGGGGUAAAGGCCUACCAAGCCGACGAUCCAUAGCUGGUCUGAGAGGAUGAUCAGCCACACUGGGACUGAGACACGGCCCAGACUCCUACGGGAGGCAGCAGUGGGGAAUAUUGGACAAUGGGCGAAAGCCUGAUCCAGCAAUGCCGCGUGAGUGAUGAAGGCCCUAGGGUUGUAAAGCUUUUUUACCCGGGAAGAUAAUGACUGUACCGGGAGAAUAAGCCCCGGCUAACUCCGUGCCAGCAGCCGCGGUAAUACGGAGGGGGCUAGCGUUGUUCGGAAUUACUGGGCGUAAAGCGCACGUAGGCGGCUUUGUAAGUCAGAGGUGAAAGCCUGGAGCUCAACUCCAGAACUGCCUUUGAGACUGCAUCGCUUGAAUCCAGGAGAGGUCAGUGGAAUUCCGAGUGUAGAGGUGAAAUUCGUAGA